Long non-coding RNA from Passer domesticus (house sparrow), 7112 nucleotides. RefSeq lists it as uncharacterized. NCBI's taxonomy places the organism in Eukaryota, Metazoa, Chordata, Aves, Passeriformes, Passeridae. The record is from RefSeq and is a predicted model, not a curated record. The transcript is spliced from 2 exons.
UCACCCAUGUGACCUCCGCUGCUGUCUGCGGCACCCUCUGGGGCACCUGCGGGAAGCAGGGGGAGGCAAGAGAUGGAGGCAGUUCUGUGGGCACACUGUCCCGCCUCAGAGCAUCAAGCCCAGCUCUGAACCCAAGGGCAGUGCUGGCCACAGCAGCCAGGCCAGGCUGUGUUCCCAGCUACACUCACUGUCUCUGGGUCAUUCCUUCACCCAGGAUGUCCUGGCACCAGCUCUUUCCCAGAGCAAAAUCUGGAGCCAAGCCUGGCUGUUGAUAUCUCCACCCAGCCCUUCUCCAGGCCCCACUGCAGUCUUUCCCUCCAUUCCCAUCCCUCACCUGUUGCCACUUGGACAGCAGCGGCUGCCCCUCACAGGAUUGGUAGUGGGCGUUCGCCUCACGUCUCUUUGACAUCUUGGCAGUGCUCUAAUCAGCACUGGCCAAGUGCACCUGGGAGAGCUGCUUCCUUCUGAGGAGUUGUUGCCUCGCGAGAGAACUGCUGCCUCCUCAGAGAGCUGCUCUCCUGGGAGUGGCAACAUGAGGUGUUUGGCCAGAUAAGCGGCCUCCAGGUCACCACACGAACCCAUGUCACAAUGGUCUCUGGGCACGAUACAACCCUGGGUCACAAUGGCCUGUUAGGCACAGCCACCCCUUGUCAUGGAGAGACAUGGAGACCCCCCCUCGGUCACAAAAGCCUUUUUUUUUGGCGUUUGACCCUCAACUUCACCUUCAUUUGUUCCUCUCGCAAUGGCCUCCAUUUUUCCCUUGUCCCGUAAUGUGUUCUUCCCCUAAACAUCCCCAAAGAACCCCUGUGCCUUGCCAAACAACUUUUCCCACCCAGCCCACCAUGUGUCCCACCCCUUGGCUCUCGGGGCCCAGCAAGAUUCUGGAGCAGAUCAUGUGAGGGGGAUCACAAGGCCCAGAGAGGAUAGCUGAGGGAUCAGUCCCCACCAGCAUGGGUUUAGGAAAGGCAGGUCCUACCUGAGCAACAUUAUGUUCUUUGACAAGUGGCUGACCCACUUCCAGGCCGAAGGAGAAGCUGUGCAUGGAAUCUCCCUGGACCAAAGCAAAGCCUUUGACUCUGUCUCCAACAGCAGAGUCUUGAAAAAGCCACUAGCCUAGGACUUGGGAAGGUGCACUCUUUACUGGGUUAAGAACUGUUGGGACGAGGCCCAGAGUGUUGUGCUGAAUUGUGCAACAUCCAGGUAUCUUCCGGUCAGUAGGGGUGUCCCCUGGGCUCACUCCUGUUUAUUAUCUGUCCUGGUGAUGUGGCCAAGGGCAUUGAGUGUACCCUCAGUUGUAAAUUUCUGACAACACCAAGAUGGGUCAGAGUGUCAGCUGGAAGCCAGGAAGGCUCUUUGGGAGAAUGCGGACAGGAUCAAUGGGGCAGGGCCAGCAGGAUGAAGUACAGGAAGACCAAGGACUGGGUCUUGCUCUCAUGUCAUAACAAUCCCCUGCAUAACUCCAGACUGGGGGCAGAAUGGCUGGAAAGCUUCCCGGAAGAAAAGAAGGCUUCAAUUUGCUACUUCUCCUGGGAAGAAAAAAAGAUUUCAAAGGCACAAAAAAUGUGUGGACGCCCAUCUCUUAUUGACAUCUUUGAAAGUCACAAUUUAAGUAGGAUGAUUUACUUAAUAGACAUAUUUUACUUGAUUCUUUACCAAUCAGUUUCAUUAAGUCCUUAAAAACAUUUUUCCUCUUACAGUAAUUCUGACCAAAAAAAAAAAUGCCAGGACAUUUCAGUCACUACCUCUCAAAACACUGCCGCUGCACAAAUGUAAGAUCCACUGUUUUCAGCCAUUAUUACAGAACACAAAAAAUUUAUUUUUAUAAGGUUGCUAGGCAGUUAAACCACCUUGAAAGAAAUGAACUAUUUGUGUGCAAGCAUGUACAACAAAGUUAUUGAUGGAAUACUAAAUAAAAAAGGAAUACGUGAGAGCUAAAUCCAGAGAUAUUUACUGGUGCUGUACUAUUAUAUUCCAGCAACACUGACAUUUCAGUCUGCAGUUUCCAACAGCCACUGCAAUAUAAUUUAAGCCCCAAAAUCAAAACUGUCAGUGCUUUUGGACCUGUGAGAUGGAGGAAUAGUUUAUUUUAAAGCUGCAUUUUUCUUUCCACCAACUUUCUAUGUCUCACAAGAACACAGAAAGUUUCACGCACAUUUCCUCCUGGAAAAUGACUAUUUCACUGUCUUUGAUACAAAACUGUAGAACCACAAGAGCUAUUUGGGCAUAAAGAGACAUUUAGAAUUCAUAGAAUGGCUUUGGUUGGAAGGGACAUUAAGAUCAUCAAGUUCCAACCCCUGAAGCUCAUCAGUUGCAUCUGUUCCAAAUUCUUGUGCAAAGCAUGGCCAGUUUUGAAGCAGGAUAUGACCUGGAAGCACCAGAAGUUUAGAAGGGUUUAAAAUCACAUGAGCAUUGUCUGUUACAAAUCUUGCAAGUCCCAUAAUUUUUUUUCCACUUUUGACAUACUGACUUUUUCCUCCUGUCUGUGCAGAGUCUAUGGGAAUGUUCAUUCUGGGCAAAGCAAGCAGGAGAAGGUUUUGCCAUCAAUGCUGUAUCUCAGCCCCAAAUUUAUAUACAUUUACCUAAGAAGUGUUAAAAAAAUCCCCUUUCCCCAAGCCAAUGAGUUCUCACAGUUCUUUUUUAGAACUUGAGCUAAGGAACCAUUGUUGAUAUAUAGUAUAAGAUUUGAAAAUAAAUCUAUUAAAAUUUGGCUGAAAGGCAAAUGGAGGGCUACAUUGAAUACAAGAGGAAUUUUUAUGCAAAAAAAUUUUAAAAAUGGAAAAUAGAGGAAGUUUAAUUUUUAGUAUUGUUGUGACUUUUCAAAUGAAAAUUUUUUACUGAAAACCAAAAGUUGAAAAAAGUUCAAUAUCAAUUUUUGAAGCCAAAUAAAACUUUAAUUCCUAAUUAAUAAUGUCCAUUAACAAGAUUCACAAUAAAAACAGGGCCCAAGGUGUGGGGCCAAUCUAGAAUGCAAGCUUUGGGAAUUUUGUCUCUUAAUGUAUCCUCAAGUCAUGUUUAUAGAUUUUUAGGUCCUCAGCUGGUUUAAUGUUUCAAGGAAUUCUAUGUAAAAAAGCAUGAUGAUAAUCCCAUGAAGAUAGUUCUACCUUUUACUCUUGUUAUUUAAAGAAAACUUUUAAAAGUGAGGGAAGCAAUGAACAAUUUAUUUGGGGUCUUUUAAAUAACCCCAGGAGUUGACAGUGUGAAUCUUUUAAAGGGAAAACAUCAGCUCAUGCAAGAUGCAGGUUAAAAUGAACAAAAACUUGGCAGCAGCUUGAGCUCAAAGUGCUGCAUAUACGUUUUCUGGAUACACUGAGCAGAUAAACCCAGCUCCUGCAGAAAUGAAUAGGAGCUGGCACAUAAGUACCUGCAAGAAUCCACACCGCUGCCCGUGAUAAAACAUCUGGUUUAUCAUCGGCAGCAGAACCAGUAGAAUUAAGUGGUUAAUACUUCAAAGUAUACAAAAUGUAACUGUAAAUUCAACAGAGCUUUCUGCUGGAGACCAUGUAAGGACACCAUAAUAACAGCAAAUUGAUUCCCCUAAACCUUUGCUUUGCAUUUGCUGUAAGACAGGAUUUUCAGUAAACCACUCCAGCUAUCCUCUGUGUUAAUAAUAACUACCUCACUGGCUGUUGAAUGAGCCACACUUACAGACACAAGGAGAAAAAAAAUAAAAGAAAAAAAAAUGCUGCAGACAUGAAGGAAUUCCUUGUUGGAGCUCCCAUUUGUUGCAGCUUUAUAAAGAUAUAGAACUUGGGUCAAUUUAAUUCAGCAGAUCCAUAUAGUGACUUAAUACUAUUGUUUUUCUCCUUUACAGCCUGAUGAGAUAUAAGUAAUUGAAAAACUACUCCAUUAAAACCAAGUAAAUGCAUUUCCUCCAGGCUUUACUCUUUCCUCUCUCUAAAAUGACCCUGACUGGUUUCAGUCUCAUGGGAGAAUUAACUGUGCAGGUGUUAUAAAGCUCAUUGCACCAGACACUGUCACUACUGUGGUUAAUGAGAAGUUGUUCUUUUUGUACAAUCCCCUCCCAUAAGGAGGGUAUGUCGCUUGCAUAAUAGCUCCAGACCCACAGGAAACCUGUGACAAUGUCUCUUCCCAAAGGCAACAAGCACAAGGAUCAUCCACACCAGCUGCCUGACAGAGUUCAAACAGUUUGGACUUAUGCUCCCAGACAUAUGUUGUGAUUUUUGGGGUUGUCCCGUGCAGAGCCAGGAGAAUUGUUGUGUUUGAUGGUCCCUGUAGGUCCCAUCUAACUCAGAAUGUUUUAUGGUUCCAUCUAGGGUUCCAUCUGAGCCCCAACACUUGCAUACAUACACAGUACAUGCACAUCCAUACAGUGUUUUCCUCCUACCAGCUGCCUUUGCACACAUGCUUCUGUCCAUCUUCCACAGGGAUUUGCAAAGACAAAGACUGCAGGUUUUGGGUUUUUUUUUUUUACUUUUAUGGCACUUCUUAGCCACUCUUCUCUAUUUGAAAAGACUACUGCCUUAAUAAUGGUACAAUUGGAAUUUUAUGCUGGCAGAUAAUUUCCAUUUUCCAGGUCUUGCUGGUCACUUCCGAGCCAUUCCUACAGCACUCAGUUCCUUGAUGAGCUAUGAGUGGAGCAGUUGCGAUCUAGCUUGUAACUGUGAUCCAAGCUGCAGCAUUUCUGAGGUUUUACAUAUUUCACACAAAUAUUGAUAGAUGUAAAAAUAAAAUCAAAAAAGCUGAACUGUAAGCUUCAUAUUUCAUGAGGUUUUUCUUCUAGUUAUAAAACCAUUUACCUGCAUAUGAAAGGAGGUAAAUUCCUCUACUCUGAAAUGGUCUUCUUUGGGUCUCAAAAUCCCUAAAUGCAUUAGAUAGAAGAUUGGAAAAAAAAAAAAAAAAAAGGCAGGAAUCUCAAACUUUGCUGCAAAAUAUUGCCCUAAGGUAAAACUGAUCCACUCUGCUGUCACAGAAGACAGGACAGGUCAGAUGCUAAUUCCCCAGAUAUGAGAAAGAUAGAGAUUUCUGUGACAACAUUCACAACAUGCUCAGUUUUGUCUUCCUAUAGGUUAUUAUUUCUCUUUAUGUCAUGCAGUACAAUCUCUUUUUAAAAUGGGGUUCCUACAUCAUGCACAAUCUGCUCCAUUGGGGGUAAGACCACCAGAGAUCAUUAUAUGCAUUCUCUGGUCCAUCACUGCAGUCAAAAGGUAAGGCACAGCAGGAUGAGAGGGAGGAGACCUUUUCUGUACCUCUGCCAGCUGUAAUAAAAUGUGAUCUGUCUAUCCUUACUCCUGGUGAUAACAAGGUGCUUGUAGAUCUUCAUCUUUUCACUUUCUGCUGCAGAGCUGUAAAUCAGGAGAGGUGCAGGGCUUGACUCUUUCUACCCCCCUGUCUUGCCUGUUCUGUAAUUCAGAUCAAUCACUUAAAGUGUCCAUAGAACCAGUUAGCUGCUCCAGAUGCUGCCAAAGCAAAUGAGUCAUAGGCAAAAUUAGGGACAUUUGGUCACAGGUAUGUAUGAUGAGCAUGACCCCAUAUGGUGUGGGAUGUCCUUUGGGUCAGUUGUCCCAGCUGCAUCCCCUCCUUGUGCACUCCCAGCCUCCUCUCUGGUGGGGUGGGGUGAGCAGAGGAAAGUCUUUGGCUUUGCUCAGCAGUAACAAAAACAUUCCUGUGCUAUCAGCAAUGUUUUGGUCACACAACUGAAACAUAGCCCAUCCCAGCUGCAAUGAAGAACAUUAAGUCUCUCCCAUCCAAAACCAGUGCACCUGGCCACAUGUGUUUUGAAGUCAUUAGUUCAAAUAGACAAACACUUAUUUAGAAUAAAAGUACCGUGCCUGGGAUGGAGAAGCAAUGCAGGAGCUGUGCACUGGCCCCUCUGUCACAAGUUUUCUGCAGGCAUAUUAAUUCAGUUUGUAAAACAGACAUCAAGCAGCCAUAAAUGCAAGCAAAGCAGUAAAUUCCUUUUUUUCAUAUAUAAAGGGAGGAGCUUUGUGAAAAUAACUCUGUGUACCUGCUGUCCCCUGUCUCUCCUCAAGCUUUAAACUUCAAACAGACUAUUUGGACUUCCUCAGAUCAGUCGGGACUAUGAAUUUCAGGUGGGGUAAAUAAAAUACAUUUAAUUGCAAUAUUUUCUUUUUAAAGGAUUUACCAGCUUUCUUUAGAUGACACACAAUGGGUCAGCUCCUGGAAAGAACCCUGUUACCCUUUCAUUUAUGACCCAGAUUUGCUGACAAAAUCAGCAUUGACAAAGAAAUAGGUAUUUUGUAUAUCCACAGAUGUGAGAAUCAAGACUCAAUUCCAAUUAGAUUUAUUUUCUUCUCUCUUUUCAUCACACCUGGCAGACUGAGAACACUGACUGAAGCCAACUUUUAGAAAGGUAAGGAAAAUAGUUGGCUUUGUCACACUCACCAGUCAACCAAUGUUCCAUGCUAUCUAUUAAUGCUAAUCUGGCAUGUCCAUCCCCAGAUGUGAAUUUCUGAAAAUUCAUAGAUCCUGGUAGUGCUUCCUUCAUAUUUCUCAGCUAAGCUGCUGGAAAUACAUGCCAUAAAUUAAAUUGCAGUGGAUACUAGGCCAGGACUUUGGGAGUUUGCUCAGGUCUAUCAGAAUAUUUAUGAAGCACAAAGAUGUUCAAUAGUUCUCAGGGUUUAUAUAUAUUACCACUGAGUCCAACAUUCUGGAUUCAAGCAUAAGCAUGGGAUGUGUUUUCCCACAGCCAAGAGAUAAUGAUUCCAACUGGAAACAUGAAAUCUGCUCACAGAGCCAGAUGCUCAGCUGCAGUAAAGUAAGGUCUCUCAGAAUGACAGAGUUAUGCUGUUCUGUAUUUCAGAACUUUAAUGUUUGUUAGUAUAACAUGAUAACAGCAAGUGUCUCUGGGCAGCUGGCAUAAAUUAUUGUAGUUUCAACCUUCAUAGAAUCUGUCUUAUGAUGUAGUUUUUCUCUUACUCACUGUACAAAUGCACUGCAACUGAACAGAGGUAAACAGGAGUUUAUCCUGGUUCCCAUUUUGCCGGUGAUAUAACUUUCCUCUCACAAACCUUCCUCUCACACUCUGGGUAACUGAUAUAGCUAGAAGUAGCAUUGGAAGCAGAAAAUCUGUUUAUUGUCUAGUUCCAGGAAGAGUUUGCAAAGCCAGCAACAUUAAAAAAAAAUAAUUUAAA